RNAcentral lists this long non-coding RNA (207 nucleotides) under Gallus gallus (chicken). Lineage: Eukaryota; Metazoa; Chordata; Aves; Galliformes; Phasianidae. The record is from RNAcentral.
AAGGUGAAGCCGGGCGGCACGGAGAAGUAGGUGUCCUCCCUUUGGCCGAAGUUGAACUCGAUGGCGCAGUUCUUCACCAGGACGUGAGGGAACAGCGCCCGGCCGGCCAGCACGUCCUUGCGGACCCGGUACGCCACCCCCAGCCACUUCCCGUUCUUCAUGAAGGACAUCUCCACCUCCUCCCCGCACUCAAAGUCGACGAGGCAG